RNAcentral lists this transfer RNA (71 nucleotides) under Cricetulus griseus (Chinese hamster). It matches the Rfam family "tRNA". From Rfam's summary of the family: Transfer RNA (tRNA) molecules are approximately 80 nucleotides in length. Their secondary structure includes four short double-helical elements and three loops (D, anti-codon, and T loops). The record is from Rfam by way of RNAcentral. Lineage: Eukaryota; Metazoa; Chordata; Mammalia; Rodentia; Cricetidae.
AUGGGUGGGGCAGUGGGUAAGAGCACUGGUUGCUCUUCCAGAAGACCUGGGUUCAAAUCCCAGCACCCACA